UCGGCCUUAAUCAAAGCCACGACCUUGCAUCGAAGCGCAUCCUCAUCGGCGGGAGCAACUCCGAGAACUUGAUCUGCGACUUUGACGGCUUGCUCGUAAUCGGAUCGCUGGAUGUGCUUGUUGAGAGUACUGAAGAGAUCUUCGAUGGCGGGCGGAGGCUGCCACGGCGACGUAGAGGGUUUCCCUUUGUCUUUGGGCUUAGGAGGCAUGGUGAUUUUCUCGGAAACCAAACAGAGAAGAGGAAAGAGAAAAUGCAAGUGCUAGAUGAAUAGAUGGGAGAUUGGAGGUUCGGCGUUG
Molecule: unclassified non-coding RNA, 297 nt
Filed under: Hevea brasiliensis (rubber tree)
Lineage: Eukaryota; Viridiplantae; Streptophyta; Magnoliopsida; Malpighiales; Euphorbiaceae
Source: RNAcentral